CCCCUCUCGGGGUGGCACCUGGAGGGUUUCCAGUACUCUACCAGUCUCGACAACUGCAGGGAAAGUCGAACAGAGGCAUACCCAUUCCAUUCCUAGCUUGGGCAGUGGCUAGCGAGUGGAAGGCCAUCUGCUACAUGC
Molecule: small nucleolar RNA, 138 nt
Organism: Tachyglossus aculeatus (Australian echidna)
Lineage: Eukaryota; Metazoa; Chordata; Mammalia; Monotremata; Tachyglossidae
Source: RefSeq, a predicted model, not a curated record